GUUAUUUGUAAUACCUAUCUUCUCUAAUCUAGGUGUUUGAAAAAUGUCUCUAACGUGUGUGGGCUAGAAGACAUUUUGUUUUUCUGUGGGUUUAUUCAUUUAACAAGGGCAGUGUUUGAGGAACUAUCAAAAACUGCUUGUCAUCUUUCCAGAUCACCUCUCUCUGCAGUGACCAUGACUUAAUCCAGAAGGAAAACAAGCCCAGCUCUUCACUCUUGUCCUCUUAUCGAUCUGCCAUCCUACUGGCUUAAACCUAGAUGAUUCUUAUAAGGGGGCCACUCUGCUGAAUAUAGCCGGCUGUUAUUGAUGGUUACUACUUUGGAGCUACAGUUCUACCAGAUCAUCCAUCCCAGAAACCAAAUCAAUAAGACAUGGAAUCUUCAUCAGUCAAGAGCCAAGUACUUUGAAGUAUUCAUACAUACCAGCUGGGAGAAACAUACCACUGCUACACUUAAACCUAAACACGUGGACUGCAUGAUAUUACUGGCAAAUUGGAUAUAUUAAGGUUCACAAUUUCUUGGAGCUAACUGUGUGUAUUUAGGCAAUUUUUAGGAUCAUAGAAAGUAAAAAAUAUAUAUAUAUCUAAACUGAUGCUUUCUUUCUUUCUUUUUUUUUUUGUAAUUGAUUCCCUAAAAGAACAAGACUUUCUAGGUAUAUUUUUUAAAUAGGAUGUAUGUUUUGAGUUGAUUUUCUGACAACGGAGGUGAGUUUUCCUCAAUACUUGCAUAUAAUGGUUCUAGGAGUUAAUAGCACACAUUGGCAAGACAGCUGGCCAAGGCGAGAAGAAUGUUUAUUCAUAUAAAGAUAACAUGAUCAGAUCACAAUGAACCUACAGAAAGUUC
Molecule: long non-coding RNA, 842 nt
Organism: Mustela lutreola (European mink)
Lineage: Eukaryota; Metazoa; Chordata; Mammalia; Carnivora; Mustelidae
Exons: 3
Source: RefSeq, a predicted model, not a curated record